Non-coding RNA from Pimephales promelas (fathead minnow), 1961 nucleotides. Lineage: Eukaryota; Metazoa; Chordata; Actinopteri; Cypriniformes; Leuciscidae. The record is from RefSeq and is a predicted model, not a curated record.
UCUGCUGAUUAUCUGGUUCAAGAUCGAAUCAAUGUCUGAUUAUUACUGCAAUUAAAAAUCAUGCCAUGUUUGAUCCCAUUGCAUUGUCAUACUGUGGUAGAGCACAUUUGCUUACUUCAAAAACAGCGUUUUCAUUAUCCUGAAAAACUGAGAUGUUGAAAAAAUGUAUAUUAUAGGUCUUUAUAAAUAAUAUUCAUAUAUUUAAACACACUCACACACGUUUUCAUCCACGUCAUAGCCUACCAACAAUAAUAUAUUCUUCUAAGCACAGGCCAUGAGCUAGUUUCAGAAAACACAGAAUCUUUGAAUUGUUGGUAACAAUGGAACUUGUGACCAUAUCUGGUUAACAACACAUUUGGGAAACACGGAAUAUCCAUAAAUUUAGUUUUAGACCAAGGGGGACUAAAUUCUAAAGGAGAGCCAAAUCGUUCCUGUUGUUUUAGCCCCUCCGCCCGUAUUUAAUGGCUCCCCCGUUCUCCAUCACACCCUCAUUACCUCCCUGCGUCUCGGAUCUCCCGAAUGGAUGGCUAAAUCACACCCGAACAGCUUGCGUCCUCCUGAAACCACGUUCUGUUUUACAGGCGUUCCGCAGAGGCUCAGAGAUGGAUGGAAGUGGAGUAUUAACAUGCGGAGUUCAAGGCUCGCUCUCCAAUCGAGUCCAGUGGUGGAGAUCUAAUUACAGAAUCUGAACAGAGAUGCGGAUGGAGUCACCGGGAACAGGCUGAUGACCGGAGACUGGACUUCCGUGUGAAGGUUAGCAGGUGAUCGAUAGAACUCGGAGCCAGCACAUGCAGUAUGGUUGUGAGGGAGAUGGUGUAGUCGACUGGAUGCCAGUCUUGGAGGAGCAAGAAACAUCUCCCCACUGCAGUCGCCGAGGGAUCUCUGCCCAAUCUGAUUACUGCAUUUGUCAACCUGCCACCCUGUUCUGGAAGUAAACAAAGCCAACACCAGAUAAGACCCUGCCGACUCCUUCAACGCUGCCCGAGACAAUUCCACUCGAAUGUAAAUGCACCCCCCCCCCUCACACACACACACACACACAAGCUAAUGCACACAGGAAGCACAUUGGAAAAUAGCCAGGAUGCUUCCAGUUCUGUUUAUCUGAUGGACAGAAGACAAAGGUCUACAUUACAAUCAAGCUCUAAUGCAUUGCAUUACACAUGCCACAUCCUCAGAAGACUUCUGGUCAUGUCCUAUAGUGUCUUCCCUGAAAGGCUGGAUUUUCUGGAUUUUCCUAUUAUAGGACUUUCCCAGCAAUUUAUUUCUCAUUUUGUUUUAUUGCUGGUUCCUAAAGGUGUGAUUGUUCCUGACAUCAUAAGUUCCUGAAGCCUGGACUUGGGUUUAUACCAAUAACAACCAUUAACAGUCUGACAUUCCUUAUCAGGAACUGACUGUGGUAAAAAUAAAUAAAUAAAUAAAUAAAUGAAAAAAAAAAUAUGAAAAUAAUCUCAUGUAUCAGGAUUCAAACCAAAGCCUUUGUCACACUUGCUUAGAAAUCCCUUUCAUAAUGUUAAUAUCAAUUUACAUUGUUCAUUUAAUGCUCAUAAUUAUUGGAAAUAGAGAUGUUCAGUUAAGUGUAGUUUGUCCUUGAAAAGAAUGAUAAUUUUUAAUAAGUAGAGUUUUUACAUGUUUUCUUUUUCUGCAUACAUUAUUAUUAUUACUAUUAUUAUUAUAUAAAUUGCAUAAGACCACCUAAGCCAAUUUUGAUGUACAAUAGUUUGAAAAUCUAUAUUCAAGGUAUGACUCAAUCCUUUUUUUUUUUUUUUUUUUUUUUGGGAACACAACGAAAAUGUCUUUUCAAGUAAUGUUGACCACAUUUUACUCAUAUCCAAAACCAUUACUUUAAAAACCCAUUAGAAAUUCCUGAGGGAAAAACUAUUGCAAAUUAUCCUUUUGGUUCGGCCUACAAAAUGGAUAUUAUAACUGAGGGGCUCUAUUGCAAUAAAGAAUAAUUUGCAGUC